CUUAAAACCAAAUAAGUUGGAUAAAAAAAAAAAAAUUUUUUUUGGUCCUCCUUUGCAAUUUUAUGUGGAGAUUACAUCCACUUUCCAUAGUGCAUAAAAAAAAAUUAAAAAAAAUUUAAAAAAAANNNNNNNUUACUGCAAUAUGUAUAUUCGUUACAUAACUAUCUUGGUAAGAAUCCAUGCCGGGAAAUUGCAAUCUCAAACGCUUGUAUUCUUUCCCCUCGAGGAUAACCAUUGCAAUCAUAAGAUGAUAUUUCAUUAAUAUUAAGAUUUACACAAGCC
Molecule: unclassified non-coding RNA, 282 nt
Filed under: Hevea brasiliensis (rubber tree)
Lineage: Eukaryota; Viridiplantae; Streptophyta; Magnoliopsida; Malpighiales; Euphorbiaceae
Source: RNAcentral